Molecule: ribosomal RNA, 468 nt
Filed under: uncultured bacterium
Lineage: Bacteria
Description: partial 16S ribosomal RNA
Rfam family: Bacterial small subunit ribosomal RNA
Source: RNAcentral
GACGAACGCUGGCGGCGUGCUUAACACAUGCAAGUCGAACGGAAAGGCCCUGCUUUUGUGGGGUGCUCGAGUGGCGAACGGGUGAGUAACACGUGAGUAACCUGCCCUUGACUUUGGGAUAACUUCAGGAAACUGGGGCUAAUACCGGAUAGGAGCUCCUGCUGCAUGGUGGGGGUUGGAAAGUUUCGGCGGGUGGGGAUGGACUCGCGGCUUAUCAGCUUGUUGGUGGGGUAGUGGCUUACCAAGGCUUUGACGGGUAGCCGGCCUGAGAGGGUGACCGGCCACAUUGGGACUGCGGUACGGCCCAGUCUCCUACGGGAGGCAGCAGUGGGGAAUAUUGCACAAUGGGCGGAAGCCUGAUGCAGCAACGCCGCGUGCGGGAUGACGGCCUUCGGGUUGUAAACCGCUUUCGCCUGUGACGAAGCGUGAGUGACGGUAAUGGGUAAAGAAGCACCGGCUAACUACGUG